Molecule: ribosomal RNA, 433 nt
Filed under: uncultured bacterium
Lineage: Bacteria
Description: partial 16S ribosomal RNA
Rfam family: Bacterial small subunit ribosomal RNA
Source: RNAcentral
AACGAACGCUGGCGGCAUGCCUAACACAUGCAAGUCGAACGAAACCUCCGGGCCUUGUGGCGCACGGCUGCGUAACGCGUGGGAACCUGCCCUUAGGUUCGGAAUAACUCCCCGAAAGGGGUGCUAAUACCACAUAAUGUCUUCGGACCAAAGAUGUAUCGCCUUUGGAUGGGCCCGCGUUGGAUUCGCUGGUUGGUAGGGUAAAAGCCUACCAAGGCGACGAUGCAUAGCUGGUCUGAGAGGAUGAUAAACGACACUAGGGAUAAGACACGGACGAGACUCGUACGCAAGGGGGGAGAGUAGAAUAUUGGACGAUGGACGAAGGCGUGAUACAGCCAUGCCGGGUAAGUGAUGAAGGCCGUAGGGUAGUAAAGCUCUUUUACCCGGGAUGAUAAUGACGGUACCGGGUGAAUAAGCACCGGCUAACUACGUG